This 448-nucleotide ribosomal RNA is filed under the name uncultured marine eukaryote. Its description in RNAcentral is "SSU rRNA". It matches the Rfam family "Eukaryotic small subunit ribosomal RNA", at positions 1 to 452 of the family's 1831-position model. The record is from RNAcentral.
AACCUGGUUGAUCCUGCCAGUAGUCAUAUGCUUGUCUCAAAGAUUAAGCCAUGCAUGUCUAAGUACAAGCCUUAAUAAGGUGAAACCGCGAAUGGCUCAUUAAAUCACACCUAAUGUACUGGAUAGUCUCAGUUACUUGGAUAACUGCGGUAAUUCUGGAGCUAAUACAUGCGCAAAACUGCGACUCACGGAGCAGUGCUUUUAUUAGAUCAAAACCAAACGGCUUUGCCGUUCCUUUGGUGAUUCUGAAUAACUUUGGGCUGAUCGCAUGGCCUUGAGCCGGCGACGUAUCCUUCCAAGGUGUGCCCUAUCAACUGUCGACUGUGGCAUAGACGCCCACAGUGGUUUUGACGGGUAACGGGGAAUUAGGGUUCGAUUCCGGAGAGGGAGCCUGAGAAACGGCUACCACUUCUACGGAAGGCAGCAGGUGCGCAAAUUACCCCCUGGU